UAGCUAAUACCGCAUAACGUCGCAAGAGCAAAGAGGGGGACCUUCGGGCCUCUUGCCAUCGGAUGUGCCCAGAUGGGAUUAGCUAGUAGGUGGGGUAACGGCUCACCUAGGCGACGAUCCCUAGCUGGUCUGAGAGGAUGACCAGCCACACUGGAACUGAGACACGGUCCAGACUCCUACGGGAGGCAGCAGUGGGGAAUAUUGCACAAUGGGCGCAAGCCUGAUGCAGCCAUGCCGCGUGUAUGAAGAAGGCCUUCGGGUUGUAAAGUACUUUCAGCGGGGAGGAAGGCGAUAAGGUUAAUAACCUUGUCGAUUGACGUUACCCGCAGAAGAAGCACCGGCUAACUCCGUGCCAGCAGCCGCGGUAAUACGGAGGGUGCAAGCGUUAAUCGGAAUUACUGGGCGUAAAGCGCACGCAGGCGGUCUGUCAAGUCGGAUGUGAAAUCCCCGGGCUCAACCUGGGGAACUGCAUUCGAAACUGGCAGGCUAAGAGUCUUGUAGAGGGGGGGGUAGAAUUCCAGGUGUAGCGGUGAAAUGGCGUAAGAGAUCUGGAGGAAUACCCGGUGGGCGAAGGCGGGCCCCCUGGACAAAGGACAUGACG
Molecule: ribosomal RNA, 601 nt
Filed under: uncultured Enterobacter sp.
Lineage: Bacteria; Pseudomonadati; Pseudomonadota; Gammaproteobacteria; Enterobacterales; Enterobacteriaceae
Description: bacterial SSU rRNA
Rfam family: Bacterial small subunit ribosomal RNA
Source: RNAcentral